GAGUUUAUUCAGCUCACACUUUUAAAGAAUGUAUAUAUAUUUUAAAGUUUAUUGAGGAUAAUUUUACGCACGCGGUAACCUUCUCCGAAAAAAGAAAAAGAAGCAAAAAAAUUUCAUAAAAUCAUCAUUUAAUUUUAGAGAAAAUUGCAAACCCUUCCAAUUGUAAUUUUUAAACUAUAAAAUUAAAAACUCUCUCGAUUACAAUUUUUGAA
Molecule: long non-coding RNA, 212 nt
Filed under: Lathyrus oleraceus (garden pea)
Lineage: Eukaryota; Viridiplantae; Streptophyta; Magnoliopsida; Fabales; Fabaceae
Description: Pisum sativum (pea) long non-coding RNA (PSAT_LNC027680)
Source: RNAcentral